RNAcentral lists this ribosomal RNA (460 nucleotides) under uncultured bacterium. RNAcentral's name for it is "partial 16S ribosomal RNA". It matches the Rfam family "Bacterial small subunit ribosomal RNA", at positions 338 to 795 of the family's 1533-position model. The record is from RNAcentral.
CCUACGGGAGGCAGCAGUGAGGAAUAUUGGUCAAUGGACGAGAGUCUGAACCAACCAAGUAGCGUGAAGGAUGACUGCCCUAUGGGUUGUAAACUUCUUUUAUAUGGGAAUAAAAUGUUCCACGUGUGGGAUUUUGUAUGUACCAUAUGAAUAAGGAUCGGCUAACUCCGUGCCAGCAGCCGCGGUAAUGCGGAGGAUCCGAGCGUUAUGCGGAUUUAUUGGGUUUAAAGGGAGCGUAGGUGGAUUGUUAAGUCAGUUGUGAAAGUUUGCGGCUCAACCGUAAAAUUGCAGUUGAAACUGGCAGGCUUGAGUACAGUAGAGGUGGGCGGAAUUCGUGGUGUAGCGGUGAAAUGCUUAGAUAUCACGAAGAACUCCGAUUGCGAAGGCAGCUCACUGGACUGCAACUGACACUGAGGCUCGAAAGUGUGGGUAUCAAACAGGAUUAGAUACCCCUGUAGUC